UAAGUAAGUGUUUUAUGGCACUUUUUAAAUCCAUAUCCACCUUGUGUGCAAUGUCAGUCGAUCUUCUUCAUGGAGAUCGACCAAACAUCAACCUUUAUCUUUUAACUCUUUGUCUGAAAAAUAUUAUGAAUAAACAAUUCAAAAUA
RNAcentral lists this unclassified non-coding RNA (146 nucleotides) under soil metagenome. RNAcentral's name for it is "partial internal transcribed spacer 1". The record is from RNAcentral.